This 460-nucleotide ribosomal RNA is filed under the name uncultured bacterium. RNAcentral's name for it is "partial 16S ribosomal RNA". It matches the Rfam family "Bacterial small subunit ribosomal RNA", at positions 338 to 795 of the family's 1533-position model. The record is from RNAcentral.
CCUACGGGAGGCAGCAGUGAGGAAUAUUGGUCAAUGGCCGGAAGGCUGAACCAGCCAUGCCGCGUGAAGGUCAGUGCCCUAUGGGCGUUAAACUUCUUUUGUGCGGGAGCAAUAAUGGUCACGUGUGGCCAGACGAGAGUACCGUACGAAUAAGCAUCGGCUAACUCAGUGCCAGCAGCCGCGGUAAUACGGGGGAUGCAAGCGUUAUCCGGAUUUAUUGGGUUUAAAGGGUGCGUAGGCUGUGAGGUAAGUCAGCGGUGAAAUGCCCCCGCUCAACGGGGUGAAGUGCCAUUGAUACUGCCUUGCUGGAAUGCGGAUGCCGUGGGAGGAAUGUGUGGUGUAGCGGUGAAAUGCAUAGAUAUCACACAGAACACCGAUUGCGAAGGCAGCUCACGAAUCCGCGAUUGACGCUGAUGCACGAAAGCGUGGGUAUCAAACAGGAUUAGAUACCCCUGUAGUC